This 458-nucleotide ribosomal RNA is filed under the name uncultured bacterium. Its description in RNAcentral is "bacterial SSU rRNA". It matches the Rfam family "Bacterial small subunit ribosomal RNA", at positions 28 to 502 of the family's 1533-position model. The record is from RNAcentral.
GAUGAACGCUAGCGGCGUGCAUAACACAUUCAAGUCGAACGGUGAAGUUUCUUCGGAAACGGAUCAGUGGCGGACGGGUGAGUAACGCGUGAGCAACCUGCCUGUUAAAGAGGGAUAACACAUGGAAACGUGUGCUAAUACCGCAUGAAGCAAUCGAAUCGCAUGUUUUGAUUGUUAAAGGGUUACCGAUAACAGAUGGGCUCGCGUUGGAUUAGGUAGUUGGUGAGGUAACGGCCCACCAAGGCGACGAUCAGUAGCCGGACUGAGAGGUUGAUCGGCCACAUUGGGACUGAGAUACGGCCCAGACUCCUACGGGAGGCAGCAGUGGGGAAUAUUGGGCAAUGGACGCAAGUCUGACCCAGCAACGCCGCGUGAAGGAAGAAGGCUUUCGGGUUGUAAACUUCUUUUAAGAGGGAAGAGUAGAAGACGGUACCUCUUGAAUAAGACCACGGCUAACU